GUGUUUUUAAAUUUCAGUAUCAAAACGAGAAUACCGAUGAGGGUGAAAGAACAGAAGAAACUAAAGGUGACAAUACCCAGUCUCAAACACUGAAUAUCGAUGAGGGUGAAAGAACAAAAUUAAAGGAAGUAAUUACAGAUGACAUCCGACACACUGAAGCGACGUCAACAGGAGAUAACACUGAUGAGUCUCAAACACUGAAUAUCGAUGAGGGUGAAAGAACAAAAUUAAAGGAAGUAAUUACAGAUGACAUCCGACACGUGAGUACUGUUGUAAACAAACGGGAUAAAUGCCACGCUACAUGUUGUAAAUGACUGAGAACCUUGGCAGGAAAUAGUUGCUAGUCCUUCGGAUGGUGCCAAAAACCGAUGUGUACUGUACAUUAAUUGUUAUUAUCCUAAACACGGCGCUGGUCACGUGGGGCUUAACCUAGCUUCUCCAUUUUUAAAUGAAAUCAUUAAAUUCGACGAAGAUGGACAGAAACGUCGCCAUCUCUCUUACAUUUCCCUCUGCACGGCGUGAUUGGUUACUUUAAACCGAAUGAGGCAAUGGUACUUUUCCUUGCACAUGUACUCUCUGUGAUAUUUUAUAGACACAUGUUAUGGUUAAAUAACUCUUUUUUAUAUAACAAUAUGUCAUUUAUACCAUAAGUUGAUUUAGUACACACUACAUAUGUGGGAAUCUACCAACUUGCCAAAGAUAUUAAUUAAUGAAAUAUACUGCCACAAUUAAUUUCAAGAGCAAAAAUUCUAGCAAUAUUAUUACAAUCUUUAUUACUCUAUUCAAUGUAAUUAUACUUUAUUUAUUUUAAUGGUUUCUUCUUAUUAUAAAUUAGCUUGGUGUAUGUCAAAAUAUGUAUAAAUAGGCUGACUAGAUGGAUAUGUAUCAUUAACUUGAAAACGUGACCGGUAUGUGUCACGAAACGUCGUUACUAAAUAAUAGAGAAGUAGUUUUAUCCAUACCUUGUGUUGUGUUUUGUUAAGAAUACACUUUAUUAAUCGAUUUGACAACUUAGUAA
Patella vulgata (common limpet) is the source of this 1018-nucleotide long non-coding RNA. RefSeq lists it as uncharacterized. The transcript has 4 exons. The record is from RefSeq and is a predicted model, not a curated record. NCBI's taxonomy places the organism in Eukaryota, Metazoa, Mollusca, Gastropoda, Patellidae.